RNAcentral lists this long non-coding RNA (849 nucleotides) under Physcomitrium patens. Its description in RNAcentral is "long non-coding RNA (PPAT_LNC004458)". Lineage: Eukaryota; Viridiplantae; Streptophyta; Bryopsida; Funariales; Funariaceae. The record is from RNAcentral.
GAAGAAUAGGGGACCUCAAGGAGUUAAAAGAGAGGAGAGGAAAAAGAAGAAGGCAUUCGAAGAUCAGGAUUUUGGAGUCAGAGAGCUAGCUUCAAGUUCCUUCGAAAGGUGUAGAAUUGGUUUUCAUAAGGUUUAGGAGGAUUUUGCAAUCAUUGCUCAAAAUCAGUAUUUGUAUUGGUGAAUUGGAUUUUUACAAUAAAGUAAAGGCUAGUACUCUUGACUGUUUUGUAAAAUUGGAGAGACAUCCGUGGUUGAAUUUUUAGAGGUGUCUAGAUGAUUGAGUAUACUAAGGACAUGCAAAAAUUUGUGUUAAUCUUAUAAUACAAAUAGAAGAUAUUUGAUCAUUAGUGUAAAGAGAUAUCACAAGUUGGCAUAUUGGAGUUGUUUAGGAUUUUUGUAAUAUCUGAGUUCUAACGGUUGGAAUAAGGUGAAUUUUGACAUAGUAAGUCGAGGACUUAAAGGCGGAGCUGCACACAAAAUUUGAAUAGGAAUUAACGGUUAGAAAAAGAGAAAUUACAAGUUAAAAUUCAUCAUCAACCUUCUAGUCGGCGAUCAAGGAACUUCAGCGUGGAUUUACGGUAUUUUCUUACAAUCUGUAAGUUGGAUUGGAUUGAAACUUCUUGAGCAUUUAGAAGACUUGUAAAGACACUAAUGAUAGAAGUUUUAUAACAAUUGGAUAGUCAGAUUGAGAAUUACAGCUUGUCGUGGCUUGUUGUCUAGGGUUAGGAUUUAAAAAUAAAUAAAUAAAUAAAUAAAAAUGUAAAAAUAUAAAAAUAUAAAAAUAAAAAAUGAAAUAAAAAUAAAAAUGAUGAAUAACAAAAGAAUCUUUGCUUAUAAUAUCUAGAAGCU